CGGAAUUGCUAGUAAUGGCAGGUCAGCAUACUGCCGUGAAUACGUUCCCGGGCCUUGUACACACCGCCCGUCACACCAUGAGAGUUGGGGAUACCCGAAGCCUGUGAGCCAACUUUUAAAGAGGCAGCAGUCGAAGGUAGAAUCAAUGAUUGGGGUGAAGUCGUAACAAGGUAAC
RNAcentral lists this ribosomal RNA (175 nucleotides) under uncultured bacterium. RNAcentral's name for it is "partial 16S ribosomal RNA". It matches the Rfam family "Bacterial small subunit ribosomal RNA", at positions 1327 to 1500 of the family's 1533-position model. The record is from RNAcentral.